GGAAUUUGCUCUGUAAUGGACACAACGCCUUAAUCUUACUUAAUUUAGUAAUUUAAAUCAGUUUGUAUACCACUAUAUUAAUUAUAUUGAAUAUUAAUAUUUGAAAUUUUUUUAAAAAAGCAUAUUAAGUCAAGGUGCAUCAAAUAAUUAUGAAGGAGGUGAAUUACAUUAAUUUUAAUGUAAUUUUUUUUAAUGAAAAAAUUUUUAGGAUUUAAUAGUAAAAUACUAAUAUUAUGAGUAUUUGAAUCAAGCUCUAAAAUAUGCAC
RNAcentral lists this ribosomal RNA (266 nucleotides) under Ixodes scapularis (black-legged tick). RNAcentral's name for it is "partial 12S ribosomal RNA". Lineage: Eukaryota; Metazoa; Arthropoda; Arachnida; Ixodida; Ixodidae. The record is from RNAcentral.